AAUACUUAGUGGCAGACGGGUGAGUAACAUGUGGGUAUCUUCCCUUUGGUGAGGAAUAACACGAGGAAACUUGUGCUAAUACCUCAUAAGUCUUUACGGAGAAAGCUUUAUGCGCCAAUGGAUGAGCCCGCACUUGAUUAGUUUGUUGGUGGGGUAAUGGCCUACCAAGACUUUGAUCAAUAGCUGAUUUGAGAGGAUGAUCAGCCACAUUGGGACUGAGACACGGCCCAAACUCCUACGGGAGGCAGCAGUAGGGAAUCUUGCACAAUGGAGGAAACUCUGAUGCAGCGAUGCCGCGUGAGUGAAGAAGGCCUUUGGGUUGUAAAGCUCUUUCGUCGGGGAAGAAAAUGACUGUACCCGAAUAAGAAGGUCCGGCUAACUUCGUGCCAGCAGCCGCGGUAAUACGAAGGGACCUAGCGUAGUUCGGAAUUACUGGGCUUAAAGAGUUCGUAGGUGGUUAAAAAAGUUGGUGGUGAAAUCCCAGAGCUUAACUCUGGAACUGCCAUCAAAACUUUUUAGCUAGAGUAUGAUAGAGGAAAGUAGAAUUUCUAGUGUAGAGGUGAAAUUCGUAGAUAUUAGAAAGAAUACCAAUUGCGAAGGCAGCUUUCUGGAUCAUUACUGACACUGAGGAACGAAAGCAUGGGUAGCGAAGAGGAUUAGAUACCCUCGUAGUCCAUGCCGUAAACGAUGUGUGUUAGAUGUUGGAAAUUUAUUUUCAGUAUCGCAGCGAAAGCAAUAAACACACCGCCUGGGGAGUACGACCGCAAGGUUAAAACUCAAAUGAAUUGACGGGGACCCGCACAAGUAGUGGAGCAUGUGGUUUAAUUCGAAGAUACGCGCAGAACCUUACCAACACUUGACAUGUUCGUUUCGACUCUAAGAGAUUAGAGUUUUCGGUUCGGCCGGACGAAACACAGGUGCUGCAUGGCUGUCGUCAGCUCGUGUCGUGAGAUGUUGGGUUAAGUCCCGCAACGAGCGCAACCCUUACUUUUAGUUGCCAUCAUUUAGUUGGGCACUCUGAAAGAACUGCCAGUGAUAAGCUGGAGGAAGGUGGGGAUGACGUCAAGUCCUCAUGGCCCUUAUGUGUUGGGCUACACACGUGCUACAAUGGCAUUUACAAUAGGAAGCAAGACGGCGACGUCAAGCAAAUCCUAAAAAAAUGCCUCAGUUCGGAUUGCACUCUGCAACUCGAGUACAUGAAGCUGGAAUUACUAGUAAUCGUGGAUCAGCGUGCCACGGUGAAUACGUUCCCGGGUCUUGUACACACCGCCCGUCACACCAUGGGAGUUGGUUCUACCUUAAGGCAAGGUUUAAAACCUUUGACCACGGU
This 1330-nucleotide ribosomal RNA is filed under the name uncultured bacterium. RNAcentral's name for it is "bacterial SSU rRNA". It matches the Rfam family "Bacterial small subunit ribosomal RNA", at positions 87 to 1463 of the family's 1533-position model. The record is from RNAcentral.